AACUAUCACCUAUCUUCUCCAUCGUUUCUUCUUUCUUGUAGCCCCAUCCCCAGUCCUCCAUCUGGGCAUCCUGAGACAAAAUUGUAGUGUGGGCAGAGCUUGCCCAUGGCAGGUCCAGGACUCUGUUUGUGCUGCCCUUCAUCUCCCUGCUCCCCUUCAUCUCCCUGCUCCCCAUCCUCAAGGCCCAGGAAAUACCCUCAGUGACUUGUUCUCCAGUGGGUGGUAGAACACAGGCUGAGAUGAACCACCAGCUUCCACUGCAACUUCUGUCCUUUACUACAAAGCCUCCAAAACUACUCUGUGUCAUGGUCUCUCCACAUAUAUUAAGUGAUAAUAAUCCUCACUCAGUCAGUAGGAUGUUUUCAGCAACGAAUAACAGAAAAUUCAAGUCAAAUAUCUUCAACAUUCAGAAUGUUUACUGACUCCCAGACAGGAAGCCCAGGCUAGGGAGGGGUUAAACCAGCACCACAGCUUUCCUUCCCAUGUGAGCCACAUCCUUCAGCUAAUCUGGAGGUGGAGGCAGCAGUCCCCAGCGGAGAGAGACAGGGUUGCCUCUGGGAGGUGUCCUGAAAGAGCAAGGUGAGCAAGAAAUUGCCCAGCUGCCUGGAAAACCUGUUCUUGAAUCUCAGUACCUUGAACUGAGUCACGUGGGGAGUGGGAUCACCUUUAGACCAACUGGACUCACCUGUGGAUCUGGGUCAGGGUCAAGAAGCAAUAGAGCUCUCUGACUCCUAAGGUCUGCUCCAAACCCCCUCAAAGGGUGAUGAAAAUAUCUGGGAAUGGCACCCCACUCCAGUAC
Molecule: long non-coding RNA, 799 nt
Organism: Bos taurus (domestic cattle)
Lineage: Eukaryota; Metazoa; Chordata; Mammalia; Artiodactyla; Bovidae
Source: Ensembl